This 234-nucleotide long non-coding RNA is filed under the name Monodelphis domestica (gray short-tailed opossum). RNAcentral's name for it is "lncRNA (ENSMODG00000039220.1)". The record is from RNAcentral. Lineage: Eukaryota; Metazoa; Chordata; Mammalia; Didelphimorphia; Didelphidae.
CAGAAUAAUGAAAGAAACCAAUUGUGUUGAAAUUGUCACCAAAAUAUAUUUUUAAUAUUUCAGAAAAUUCAGAGAAUGAGCCUCGCGGUGACCCUGGGAAUGUUGUGGACGGUGCAGACAGUUUCUAGCUGUGUGACUCUGGGCAAGUCACUUAAUCUCUGUUGUCUAGUCCUUGCUGCUCUUCUCUGUCGUAGAAUUGGUACUAAAACAGAAGGUGAAGAAACUGAUCCAUAG